This is a long non-coding RNA of Perognathus longimembris pacificus (Pacific pocket mouse), 131 nucleotides long. RefSeq lists it as uncharacterized. NCBI's taxonomy places the organism in Eukaryota, Metazoa, Chordata, Mammalia, Rodentia, Heteromyidae. The record is from RefSeq and is a predicted model, not a curated record. The transcript has 3 exons.
GUUUUAUAAGAAAAAUAUGGAACACUUCACAAAUUUGCAUGUCACCCUUGUGCAGAGGCCAUGCUAAUAUUCUCUGUAUUAUUCCAAUUUUAGUAUAUGUGCUGCCGAAGCGAGCACUCCAAUAGAUUUUU